GGAACCCGACCGUGUUCGCGACCGGCGCGACGCCUGAGCCAACGUUUCAACUACGGGAAUCGAUGUCAGGUCACCGCUCGGUGACGUGCCGUGACCGCUCGAAUCCCACCUGCUUCGGCAGGUUCAGAGCUCCAUCCGGAGCGGCACGGUGGGGGACCA
RNAcentral lists this non-coding RNA (159 nucleotides) under Thermoleophilia bacterium. RNAcentral's name for it is "6S RNA". It matches the Rfam family "6S / SsrS RNA". Rfam says of the family: E. coli 6S RNA was the first non coding RNA to be sequenced, but its function was unknown until recently. It consists of 184 nucleotides that fold into an extended hairpin structure with a large single-stranded internal bulge. Lineage: Bacteria; Bacillati; Actinomycetota; Thermoleophilia. The record is from RNAcentral.